Molecule: transfer RNA, 87 nt
Filed under: Alcanivorax sp.
Lineage: Bacteria; Pseudomonadati; Pseudomonadota; Gammaproteobacteria; Oceanospirillales; Alcanivoracaceae
Also listed under: 2 other names
Description: tRNA-Leu
Rfam family: tRNA
About the family: Transfer RNA (tRNA) molecules are approximately 80 nucleotides in length. Their secondary structure includes four short double-helical elements and three loops (D, anti-codon, and T loops). Further hydrogen bonds mediate the characteristic L-shaped molecular structure. tRNAs have two regions of fundamental functional importance: the anti-codon, which is responsible for specific mRNA codon recognition, and the 3' end, to which the tRNAs corresponding amino acid is attached (by aminoacyl-tRNA synthetases). tRNAs cope with the degeneracy of the genetic code in two manners: having more than one tRNA (with a specific anti-codon) for a particular amino acid; and 'wobble' base-pairing, i.e. permitting non-standard base-pairing at the 3rd anti-codon position.
Source: RNAcentral
GCCCAGGUGGUGGAAUUGGUAGACACGCAGCGUUCAGGUCGCUGUGAGCUUACGCUCGUGAGAGUUCGAGUCUCUCCCUGGGCACCA